UUCAGCUUGAAUUCACAAGACGGAGACGCCCGGCCCUCCUUGGCCUCGCCCCGUCGCAACUCGUCUGGCUUGAAAGUGCACUCCUCUUCGCCGGGCCGAGACCCCCGUCCCUCCGCACACGUGCAGUCUGGAAACUCGCUGCCUUCACACGAGAAGGGAGACGAUUUCUCGUCAGCUGACGUGAAGCCGGACCGCAUACGUCCAUUGGCAUUGUGAUGGACGACCUUGAAAUGAACAUCUCCCUCUGACACAUCUUCAUCAGCUUUAAAAACGAUAGCUCAGGACUCUGUGCAUGUAUUGCUGGACUUGCGUGUGUAAUAUUGGAAAUAUUCAGUGAAUGUUUAUGCUUCCAACUGCAUGAAAUACAGACACACCAAUAAACAUGAAAGGUUCAUUUUAA
This is a long non-coding RNA of Brienomyrus brachyistius, 400 nucleotides long. RefSeq lists it as uncharacterized. The record is from RefSeq and is a predicted model, not a curated record. The transcript has 2 exons. NCBI's taxonomy places the organism in Eukaryota, Metazoa, Chordata, Actinopteri, Osteoglossiformes, Mormyridae.